RNAcentral lists this ribosomal RNA (284 nucleotides) under Cryptosporidium suis. RNAcentral's name for it is "partial 18S ribosomal RNA". It matches the Rfam family "Eukaryotic small subunit ribosomal RNA", at positions 591 to 901 of the family's 1831-position model. The record is from RNAcentral. Lineage: Eukaryota; Apicomplexa; Conoidasida; Eucoccidiorida; Cryptosporidiidae.
CCAAUAGCGUAUAUUAAAGUUGUUGCAGUUAAAAAGCUCGUAGUUGGAUUUCUGUUAAUAAUUUAUAUAUAAUAUUUUUAAUAUUUAUAUAAUAUUAACAUAAUUCAUAUUACUAUAAUUUUUAUUAGUAUAUGAAAUUUUACUUUGAGAAAAUUAGAGUGCUUAAAGCAGGCAUAUGCCUUGAAUACUCCAGCAUGGAAUAAUAUAAAAGAUUUUUAUCUUUUUUAUUGGUUCUAAGAUAAAAAUAAUGAUUAAUAGGGACAGUUGGGGGCAUUUGUAUUUAA